Mustela erminea (ermine) is the source of this 110-nucleotide long non-coding RNA. RefSeq lists it as uncharacterized. The transcript has 3 exons. The record is from RefSeq and is a predicted model, not a curated record. NCBI's taxonomy places the organism in Eukaryota, Metazoa, Chordata, Mammalia, Carnivora, Mustelidae.
UGCCUGCAGUCUAACAGCUACCCACCCACAGUGUUACAGGUGCUGAUGGAAGGUAUUGAAUCCUCCUCUUCUGACCUCCAGAUCUAAGGAGGAAGACCCCCUGUUCUAAU